GACGAACGCUGGCGGCGUGCUUAACACAUGCAAGUCGAACGGAAAGGCCCCUUUGGGGGUACUCGAGUGGCGAACGGGUGAGUAACACGUGAGUAACCUGCCCUUGACUUCGGGAUAACUUCAGGAAACUGGGGCUAAUACCGGAUAGGAAUCCUUGCUGCAUGGUGGGGGUUGGAAAGCUUCGGUGGCUUUGUAUGGACUCGCGGCUCUUCCGCUUGUUGGUGGGGUAGUGGCUUACCAAGGCUUUGACGGGUAGCCGGCCCGGGAGGGCGACCGGCCACAGUGGGACUGAGAUUCGGCCCAGACUCCGACGGGAGGGAGAAGUGGGGAAUAUUGAACAAGGGGCGGAGGCCUGAUGCAGCACCGCCGCGUGCGGGAUGACGGCCUUCGGGUUGUAAACCGCAUUCAGCAGGGGCGGAGCUUGUGGUGACGGUACCUGCAGAAGAAGCACCGGCUAACUACGUG
Molecule: ribosomal RNA, 465 nt
Filed under: uncultured bacterium
Lineage: Bacteria
Description: partial 16S ribosomal RNA
Rfam family: Bacterial small subunit ribosomal RNA
Source: RNAcentral